Saimiri boliviensis boliviensis (Bolivian squirrel monkey) is the source of this 2020-nucleotide non-coding RNA. NCBI's taxonomy places the organism in Eukaryota, Metazoa, Chordata, Mammalia, Primates, Cebidae. The record is from RefSeq and is a predicted model, not a curated record.
CCUGAGCAAGGAGCGGGUCCGUCGCGGAGCCGGAGGGCAGGAGGAACAUGACAUCGCGGAGAUGGUUUCACCCGAAUAUCACUGGUGUGGAGGCAGAAAACCUACUAUUGACAAGAGGAGUUGAUGGCAGCUUUUUGGCAAGGCCUCGUAAAAGUAACCCUGGAGACUUCACACUUUCUGUUAGAAGAAAUGGAGCUGUCACUCACAUCAAGAUUCAGAACACUGGUGAUUACUAUGACCUGUAUGGAGGGGAGAAGUUUGCCACUUUGGCUGAGUUGGUCCAGUAUUACAUGGAACAUCAUGGGCAAUUAAGAGAAGAAUGGAGAUGUUAUGGAGCUUAAAUAUCCUCUGAACUGUGCAGAUCCUACCUCUGAAAGGUAGUUUCAUGGACACCUCUCUGGGAAAGAAGCAGAGAAAUGAUUAACUGAAAAAGGAAAGCAUGGUAGCUUUCUUGUACGAGAGAGCCAGAGCCACCCUGGAGAUUUUGUUCUCUCUGUGUGCACCAGUGAUGACAAAGGGGAGAGCAGUGACGGCAAGUCUAAAGUGACCCAUGUCAUGAUUCGCUGUCAGGAACUGAAAUAUGAUGAUGGAGGAGAACGGUUUGAUUCUUUGACAGAUCUUGUGGAACAUUACUAGAAGAAUCCUAUGGUGGAAACAUUGGGUACAGUACUACAACUUAAGCAGCCCGUUAGCACGACUCAUAUAAAUGCUGCUGAAAUAGAAAGCAGAGUUCGAGAACUAAGCAAAUUAGCUGAGACCACAGAUAAAGUCAAACAAGGCUUUUGGGAAGAAUUUGAGACACUACAACAACAGGAGUGCAAACUUCUCUGUAGACGAAAAGAGGGUCAAAGGCAAGAAAACAAAAACAAAAAUAGAUAGAAAAACAUCCUGCCCUUUGAUCAUACCAGGGUUGUCCUACACAACGGGGAUCCCAAUGAGCCUGUUUCGGAUUACAUAAAUGCAAAUAUAAUCAUGCCUGAAUUUGAAACCAAGUGCAACAAUUCAAAGCCCAAAAAGAGUUACAUUGCCACACAAGGCUGUCUGCAAAACACGGUGAACGACUUUUGGCGGAUGGUGUUCCAAGAAAACUCCCGAGUGAUUGUUAUGACAACGAAAGAAGUGGAGAGAGGAGAGAGUAAAUGUGUCAAAUACUGGCCUGAUGAGUAUGCUCUCAAAGAAUAUGGGGUCAUGCAUGUUAGGAACGCCAAAGAAAGUGCUGCUCAUGACUAUACGCUAAGAGAACUUAAACUUUCAAAGGUUGGACAAGCUCUACUCCAGGGGAAUACGGAGAGAAUGGUCUGGCAAUACCACUUUCGGACCUGGCCGGACCACGGAGUGCCCAGCGACCCUGGGGGUGUGCUGGACUUCCUGGAGGAGGUGCACCACAAGCAGGAGAGCAUCAUGGAUGCAGGGCUGGUCGUGGUGCACUGCAGUGCUGGAAUUGGCUGGACAGAGACGUUCAUUGUGAUUGAUAUUCUUAUUGACAUCAUCAGAGAGAAAGGUGUUGACUGCGACAUUGACAUUCCCAAAACCAUCCAGAUGGUGCGAUCUCAGAGGUCAGGGAUGGUCCAGACAGAAGCACAGUACCGAUUUAUCUAUAUGGCGGUCCAGCAUUAUAUUGAAACACUACAGCGCAGGAUUGAAGAAGAGCAGAAAAGCAAGAGGAAAGGGCACGAAUAUACAAAUAUUAAGUAUUCUCUAGCGGACCAGAUGAGUGGAGAUCAGAGCCCGCUCCCGCCUUGUACUCCAACGCCACCCUGUGCAGAAAUGAGAGAACACAAUGCUAGAGUCUAUGAAAAUGUGGGGCUGAUGCAACAGCAGAAAAGUUUCAGAUGAGCAAACCUUCCAAAACUUCAGCACAGAAAUAGAUGUGGACUUCACUCUCUCCCUAAAAAGAUCAAGAACAAAUGCAAGAAAGUUGAUGUGAAGACAGUAUUUGGAUUUGAAAGGCUUGUAUUGUGGUUGACUACCUUUUGAUAAGCAAAAUUUGAAAACAUUUAAAGACCACUGUAUUUUAACU